GUGUGCCUACGGGGGGCAGCAGUGAGGAAUAUUGGUCAAUGGACGAGAGUCUGAACCAGCCAAGUAGCGUGAAGGAUGACUGCCCUAUGGGUUGUAAACUUCUUUUAUAUGGGAAUAAAGUUUUCCACGUGUGGAAUUUUGUAUGUACCAUAUGAAUAAGGAUCGGCUAACUCCGUGCCAGCAGCCGCGGUAAUACGGAGGAUCCGAGCGUUAUCCGGAUUUAUUGGGUUUAAAGGGAGCGUAGGUGGAUUGUUAAGUCAGUUGUGAAAGUUUGCGGCUCAACCGUAAAAUUGCAGUUGAAACUG
Molecule: ribosomal RNA, 305 nt
Filed under: uncultured bacterium
Lineage: Bacteria
Description: bacterial SSU rRNA
Rfam family: Bacterial small subunit ribosomal RNA
Source: RNAcentral